This 329-nucleotide unclassified non-coding RNA is filed under the name soil metagenome. RNAcentral's name for it is "partial contains 5.8S ribosomal RNA, internal transcribed spacer 2, and large subunit ribosomal RNA". The stretch from base 1 to 120 matches the Rfam family "5.8S ribosomal RNA", at positions 35 to 154 of the family's 154-position model. The record is from RNAcentral.
GAUGAAGAACGCAGCGAAAUGCGAUAAGUAAUGUGAAUUGCAGAACUCAGUGAAUCAUCGAAUCUUUGAACGCACAUUGCGCCCCUUGGUAUCCCGAGGGGCAUGCCUGUUCGAGCGUCAUUUCACCACUCAAGCCUGGCUUGGUGUUGGGCGACGUCCCCUUUGGGGACGCGCCUCGAAACGCUCGGCGGCGUGGCACCGGCUUUAAGCGUAGCAGAAUCUUUCGCUUUGGAAGUCGGGGCCCCGUCUGCCGGAAGACCUACUCGCAAGGUUGACCUCGGAUCAGGCAGGGAUACCCGCUGAACUUAAGCAUAUCAAUAAGCGGAGGA